UACGUAGGUGGCAAGCGUUGUCCGGAUUUAUUGGGCGUAAAGAGCGUGUAGGCGGCUAGAUAGGUCCGUUGUGAAAACUCGAGGCUCAACCUCGAGACGUCGAUGGAAACCAUCUGGCUAGAGUCCGGAAGAGGAGAGUGGAAUUCCUGGUGUAGCGGUGAAAUGCGCAGAUAUCAGGAGGAACACCCGUGGCGAAAGCGGCUCUCUGGGACGGUACUGACGCUGAGACGCGAAAGCGUGGGGAGCAAACAGG
This 253-nucleotide ribosomal RNA is filed under the name uncultured bacterium. RNAcentral's name for it is "partial 16S ribosomal RNA". It matches the Rfam family "Bacterial small subunit ribosomal RNA", at positions 524 to 776 of the family's 1533-position model. The record is from RNAcentral.